Molecule: long non-coding RNA, 1070 nt
Organism: Syngnathoides biaculeatus (alligator pipefish)
Lineage: Eukaryota; Metazoa; Chordata; Actinopteri; Syngnathiformes; Syngnathidae
Exons: 3
Source: RefSeq, a predicted model, not a curated record
GUUAAUUAGCCCAGUUUCUUAAGUGAACACCCCCUCAACCGGAAAUGUACGGAUGUGAAGGACAUGGAUCAAUUUCAGCAUUUAUUUGGGAGGAGUGGGGGCGGCAAGGGAAUCUGUUUUUUUUUUUUUUUUUUUUUUUUCACAGCCUCUGUGACAGUGGGGUCAGAGCUCCACCCAUUGGGGUCCAAACGAGCACCGACAAGUGUGGGUGGAGUCUUUGACAAGAGCUUGUGCCGCACCUCUCUCAGCUGACGCACAUAAUAUGUUUGUGUGGGACAAGUCCACCAAGACCCAUCCAUCAAGCGUGUUCAAAUACGCCCUGCGCCACUGUUGACACAAGGUUAACAACUUGACACUGACAGAGGCUUUGUGGAAAAAGUCCAAGCUUCACGGGCAGUUUUGACCAUGCCAGGAAAGCUCUGAUGGAGGCCAGGGGAGCUGCAGGAGGUGCGGCAGGCGAAGACGUGCAGCUGGAGGUUAAUAUGAAAGAUGCUUUGACUGCCAUGACAAGCUAAAUAGAGGGAGCGGAACCAUUGUCUUCCAAAUCAGCUGUCAGCGUGUUUCCACUGUCAGCACUUUGGCUCACUACCUGCCUGGUUAAUCAUCGAGCCUCUCUUGAGCUGCGAGCUGCUGGAGGUGCAGGGCCCACCGUAACGGACCCGCGUCAGCGCCGCGACGGGACAACAUGUGAUUGACAGAUUAGCAGGUGCUGGCGCUUUUCACAAAGAAAGAUGGGGAAAAAGGGUGGAGCGUGCUGAUUGGAAUUGAAGGAGACUCAAUGAGGUGGUGUGCAAAGGGUGUGCGUCGACUGGUUGUGGAGGAAUGGAGGUCAACAGGUCUUCUCCAAGCAAAUGAAAACAUGAAAGGCGUGAUGCCGGUUUGAGAAGUUUCGUGAUCAGCAGAAAUCUGCACAACUCAGGCAGAAAAUGUAUGUCUGUUUAUUGUGUGGUUCGGGUUGCAAACCAUAUUGGAGUGUGAAUAAAUGAAUGAGAAGAGCAUAAAUAAAACAGGCCAAUUUAAUGUAAAUUCAGAAGAAUUCCUCCACUGUAUUGUAGAGGGCUCAACCCCAU